AGUAUUGAUAGACUGCCUUUAUGCAAAUCCCUUUGGAAGAAAGGAUGGAGAGGAAGAAGCUGGAAACAGAUGAGAGGCAGGAAAUACCAAAUUGCAUGUUUAUAAAUGCUGUGAAGGAAUAUGGCAAGAGAGGAUGAUGCUAGACUGGCAGCCAUGGAAACUGAAGUCUUCUGUUUGUUCACAGGACAGCUCAUAACCCUGAAAGUCCCAGUUCAAGCUUCCACAAUCAUCCUACACAAGAGCACUGCUUCUCACAGGACUGCCUCAGCCUGGCAGGAUUCAGUCUCCUGCUCUGAGGGAAAAAGAGGAAGUCAAGGAUCAAGACCGAGUGCUCAACUGAGAUCAGAAAGGAGGACACACAGUGACUUUGCCAAAUGGAGAUUCACACAGUAGAGCUCAGACGAGUGCUAUCAGCACAGCUGAGGAAGACAAGAGUUAGGGUGCAAGGAUCCUGAAAGAGAAACAUUGGUUGUG
Molecule: non-coding RNA, 474 nt
Filed under: Pongo abelii (Sumatran orangutan)
Lineage: Eukaryota; Metazoa; Chordata; Mammalia; Primates; Hominidae
Source: RNAcentral